AGACAAGAGGAAAAUCUAGCUGUCAUGUCAAUGUCAUCCCAUUGAUCCUUAGGUUAUUUCAUUGCUGUAGCUGGCCAAAUAGAUACUAUUUUCCUGCCUCACCUCUCUAUGUGUGCCCCUUCUAAAACUAAGUUUUCCAAGCAGAAGGAUUUUAUUUAGCCAAGGAUAUUCAAGUACUGAGCUCCCCUGUUAGAAUCUCCAAACAACUGAUUUGAUAUGUUUAGUGUUUUGCACAUUUUUUUCUGAUAGGGGAUUGUAAUCCCUUCAUC
This is an unclassified non-coding RNA of Myotis lucifugus (little brown bat), 269 nucleotides long. Its record names the gene 7SK. It matches the Rfam family "7SK RNA". Rfam says of the family: 7SK was discovered as an abundant small nuclear RNA in the mid-70s but a possible function has only recently been suggested. NCBI's taxonomy places the organism in Eukaryota, Metazoa, Chordata, Mammalia, Chiroptera, Vespertilionidae. The record is from Ensembl.